Molecule: ribosomal RNA, 2900 nt
Filed under: Klebsiella pneumoniae
Lineage: Bacteria; Pseudomonadati; Pseudomonadota; Gammaproteobacteria; Enterobacterales; Enterobacteriaceae
Description: bacterial LSU rRNA
Rfam family: Bacterial large subunit ribosomal RNA
Source: RNAcentral
UUAAGCGACUAAGCGUACACGGUGGAUGCCCUGGCAGUCAGAGGCGAUGAAGGACGUGCUAAUCUGCGAAAAGCGUCGGUAAGGUGAUAUGAACCGUUAUAACCGGCGAUGUCCGAAUGGGGAAACCCAGUGCAAUUCGUUGCACUAUCGUUAACUGAAUACAUAGGUUAACGAGGCGAACCGGGGGAACUGAAACAUCUAAGUACCCCGAGGAAAAGAAAUCAACCGAGAUUCCCCCAGUAGCGGCGAGCGAACGGGGAGCAGCCCAGAGUCUGAAUCAGCUUGUGUGUUAGUGGAACGGUCUGGAAAGUCCGACGGUACAGGGUGAUAGUCCCGUACACCAAAAUGCACAGGCUGUGAACUCGAAGAGUAGGGCGGGACACGUGGUAUCCUGUCUGAAUAUGGGGGGACCAUCCUCCAAGGCUAAAUACUCCUGACUGACCGAUAGUGAACCAGUACCGUGAGGGAAAGGCGAAAAGAACCCCGGCGAGGGGAGUGAAAAAGAACCUGAAACCGUGUACGUACAAGCAGUGGGAGCACCUUCGGGUGUGACUGCGUACCUUUUGUAUAAUGGGUCAGCGACUUAUAUUCUGUAGCAAGGUUAACCGUAUAGGGGAGCCGCAGGGAAACCGAGUCUUAACUGGGCGUUAAGUUGCAGGGUAUAGACCCGAAACCCGGUGAUCUAGCCAUGGGCAGGUUGAAGGUUGGGUAACACUAACUGGAGGACCGAACCGACUAAUGUUGAAAAAUUAGCGGAUGACUUGUGGCUGGGGGUGAAAGGCCAAUCAAACCGGGAGAUAGCUGGUUCUCCCCGAAAGCUAUUUAGGUAGCGCCUCGUGAAUUCAUCUUCGGGGGUAGAGCACUGUUUCGGCUAGGGGGUCAUCCCGACUUACCAACCCGAUGCAAACUACGAAUACCGAAGAAUGUUAUCACGGGAGACACACGGCGGGUGCUAACGUCCGUCGUGAAGAGGGAAACAACCCAGACCGCCAGCUAAGGUCCCAAAGUCAUGGUUAAGUGGGAAACGAUGUGGGAAGGCACAGACAGCCAGGAUGUUGGCUUAGAAGCAGCCAUCAUUUAAAGAAAGCGUAAUAGCUCACUGGUCGAGUCGGCCUGCGCGGAAGAUGUAACGGGGCUAAACCAUGCACCGAAGCUGCGGCAGCGACACUAUGUGUUGUUGGGUAGGGGAGCGUUCUGUAAGCCUGCGAAGGUGACCUGUGAGGGUUGCUGGAGGUAUCAGAAGUGCGAAUGCUGACAUAAGUAACGAUAAAGCGGGUGAAAAGCCCGCUCGCCGGAAGACCAAGGGUUCCUGUCCAACGUUAAUCGGGGCAGGGUGAGUCGACCCCUAAGGCGAGGCCGAAAGGCGUAGUCGAUGGGAAAACAGGUUAAUAUUCCUGUACUUGGUGUUACUGCGAAGGGGGGACGGAGAAGGCUAUGUUAGCCGGGCGACGGUUGUCCCGGUUUAAGCAUGUAGGCUGGUUAUCCAGGCAAAUCCGGAUAAUCAAGGCUGAGGUGUGAUGACGAGGCACUACGGUGCUGAAGUAACAAAUGCCCUGCUUCCAGGAAAAGCCUCUAAGCAUCAGGUAACAUCAAAUCGUACCCCAAACCGACACAGGUGGUCAGGUAGAGAAUACCAAGGCGCUUGAGAGAACUCGGGUGAAGGAACUAGGCAAAAUGGUGCCGUAACUUCGGGAGAAGGCACGCUGGUGUGUAGGUGAAGCCCCUGCGGUGGAGCCGAGACCAGUCGAAGAUACCAGCUGGCUGCAACUGUUUAUUAAAAACACAGCACUGUGCAAACACGAAAGUGGACGUAUACGGUGUGACGCCUGCCCGGUGCCGGAAGGUUAAUUGAUGGGGUUAUCCGUAAGGAGAAGCUCUUGAUCGAAGCCCCGGUAAACGGCGGCCGUAACUAUAACGGUCCUAAGGUAGCGAAAUUCCUUGUCGGGUAAGUUCCGACCUGCACGAAUGGCGUAAUGAUGGCCAGGCUGUCUCCACCCGAGACUCAGUGAAAUUGAACUCGCUGUGAAGAUGCAGUGUACCCGCGGCAAGACGGAAAGACCCCGUGAACCUUUACUAUAGCUUGACACUGAACAUUGAGCCUUGAUGUGUAGGAUAGGUGGGAGGCUUUGAAGCGUGGACGCCAGUCUGCGUGGAGCCAACCUUGAAAUACCACCCUUUAAUGUUUGAUGUUCUAACGUUGGCCCCUGACCGGGGUUGCGGACAGUGUCUGGUGGGUAGUUUGACUGGGGCGGUCUCCUCCCAAAGCGUAACGGAGGAGCACGAAGGUUAGCUAAUCCUGGUCGGACAUCAGGAGGUUAGUGCAAUGGCAUAAGCUAGCUUGACUGCGAGCGUGACGGCGCGAGCAGGUGCGAAAGCAGGUCAUAGUGAUCCGGUGGUUCUGAAUGGAAGGGCCAUCGCUCAACGGAUAAAAGGUACUCCGGGGAUAACAGGCUGAUACCGCCCAAGAGUUCAUAUCGACGGCGGUGUUUGGCACCUCGAUGUCGGCUCAUCACAUCCUGGGGCUGAAGUAGGUCCCAAGGGUAUGGCUGUUCGCCAUUUAAAGUGGUACGCGAGCUGGGUUUAGAACGUCGUGAGACAGUUCGGUCCCUAUCUGCCGUGGGCGCUGGAGAAUUGAGGGGGGCUGCUCCUAGUACGAGAGGACCGGAGUGGACGCAUCACUGGUGUUCGGGUUGUCAUGCCAAUGGCACUGCCCGGUAGCUAAAUGCGGAAGAGAUAAGUGCUGAAAGCAUCUAAGCACGAAACUUGCCCCGAGAUGAGUUCUCCCUGAGACUUUAAGUCUCCUGAAGGAACGUUGAAGACGAUGACGUUGAUAGGCCGGGUGUGUAAGCGCAGCGAUGCGUUGAGCUAACCGGUACUAAUGAACCGUGAGGCUUAACCUU